GAUUGCUAUGAUUUGUUUGAUGGUGGCCACUGAAUCCUGCUGCGUAUAGAGAGCAAAGAAAGUUUUAACAGAUCACUGAAGGACAAUUCUAAGAAUACAAGGCUUUCUUAGUGCUGCAUUGCAGCAACUAAUGUACAUUUGAGCAGCAGCUACAUACAUUUCAGCAUGGCUGUCUAAGUUCCAGGGACUACAUCAGGCACAGAAAGUAUCCUAUUGCCUGGACAACAACUUGCUCCUCAGAAGUCAAUAAUUUGCUGACAUUUCCUUUAAUUGAAAUUGGUGGUGGAAAAGUUAACAUAAAAAAAAAUAUAUUGUGGCCAUAUGUUGUCGAUUUAGAGGCAGCUACGUGAGAUACAAGCUACUUUCUAGAUAGCCGUGCAGAUUUUUAGGAGUAUAGCAUGCAGGCUCUUGUUCAUUACUGGUGAAAAUGCAUAGCUAAGGAUAGUGACUGUGUUGAAAAAAUAUCAUUCUGUAGCUGAGAAUUUUCUCCAUCAAAUGUUACUGUGCUCUUUCUAUCUAUUAUGAUGGAAAUAAAUAGGAGGUGGUACUUAGGAGCAACCUACGUACAUCUGUAAACAGAAAUAAAGGCAUAGGGAACAUUAAGAAUAUCAACUUAAUUUUCUGAGUACUUGUGACUAAGACUUUUUUUUUCAGGGACUCAUGAUGAUUCUGAAGAUGGUUAAGACCAAACUACAUACACACAUGUAUCACUUUUUCUGGCACAGAAGGAGCUGAGGUUCAUUCUGUUCAUCUCUGGAGUGCAUCUUCCAGUUUGACUUCCUCUGUAAGGAAUGCUGUUUAUGUACAUUGAUUUUUUUCUGAUGUGAGCCACAGAGUUGAAGUGGGAAAAAUCAGGAUUUGCUUGCAGAUAUCGAGUCUGUUGGUUUACGGUUGGCUGAAGUAGAUGAAGCAUCUCCAGCAGGUCAAGAGAGGGCUUGUCUGCAAACUGCUACCCCUGAGAGUUCUUUUUCCAUGUUUGAGGGUAACCUCACUGAUAAUAAAAUCAUCUAUGUCUUAUGUUAAGGAAAAAUUUGACCCAGCAGAACACAGAGCAGCCAAUGCUCCAGCCACAUUUUCUAAUUGUGGUUUUGUUGUCCUUGCAUGUGUCUUGCUUAGGAAGUACCAUUUGUCAGCUAAUAAAUAGUUCUG
RNAcentral lists this long non-coding RNA (1149 nucleotides) under Phasianus colchicus (ring-necked pheasant). RNAcentral's name for it is "lncRNA (ENSPCLG00000002532.1)". The record is from RNAcentral. Lineage: Eukaryota; Metazoa; Chordata; Aves; Galliformes; Phasianidae.